RNAcentral lists this ribosomal RNA (429 nucleotides) under Gemmatimonadota bacterium. RNAcentral describes it as "Gemmatimonadetes bacterium partial 16S ribosomal RNA". It matches the Rfam family "Bacterial small subunit ribosomal RNA", at positions 355 to 776 of the family's 1533-position model. Lineage: Bacteria; Pseudomonadati; Gemmatimonadota. The record is from RNAcentral.
UAGGGAAUCUUCGGCAAUGGACGAAAGUCUGACCGAGCAACGCCGCGUGAGUGAAGAAUGUUUUCGGAUCGUAAAACUCUGUUGUUAGAGAAGAACAAGGACGUUAGUAACUGAACGUCCCCUGACGGUACCUAACCAGAAAGCCACGGCUAACUACGUGACAUCAGCCGCGGUAAUACGUAGGUGGCAAGCGUUGUCCGGAUUUAUUGGGCGUCAAGCGAGCGCAGGCGGUUUCUUAAGUCUGAUGUGCAAGCCCCCGGCUCAACCGGGGAGGGUCAUUGGAAACUGGGAGGCCUGAGUGCAGUAGAGGAGAGUGGAAGUCCAUGUGUAGCGGUGAAAUGCGUAGAUAUAUGGAGGAACACCAGUGGCGAAGGCGGCUCUCUAGUCUGUAACUGACGCUGAGGCUCGAAAGCGUGGGGAGCAAACAGG